This is a small nucleolar RNA of Notamacropus eugenii (tammar wallaby), 67 nucleotides long. Its record names the gene SNORD42. It matches the Rfam family "Small nucleolar RNA SNORD42". Rfam says of the family: snoRNA U42 is found in intron 3 of the ribosomal protein L23a (RPL23a) gene in humans and is also present in mice. Lineage: Eukaryota; Metazoa; Chordata; Mammalia; Diprotodontia; Macropodidae. The record is from Ensembl.
AUGCCAAUGAUGGAUACCUAGAUUUUCCUGAGAACAAUGAUGUUGUCAAAGGAACCACUGACGGCAU